RNAcentral lists this ribosomal RNA (589 nucleotides) under Salmonella enterica. Its description in RNAcentral is "partial 23S ribosomal RNA". It matches the Rfam family "Bacterial large subunit ribosomal RNA", at positions 1918 to 2506 of the family's 2925-position model. Lineage: Bacteria; Pseudomonadati; Pseudomonadota; Gammaproteobacteria; Enterobacterales; Enterobacteriaceae. The record is from RNAcentral.
CCCCGGUAAACGGCGGCCGUAACUAUAACGGUCCUAAGGUAGCGAAAUUCCUUGUCGGGUAAGUUCCGACCUGCACGAAUGGCGUAAUGAUGGCCAGGCUGUCUCCACCCGAGACUCAGUGAAAUUGAACUCGCUGUGAAGAUGCAGUGUACCCGCGGCAAGACGGAAAGACCCCGUGAACCUUUACUAUAGCUUGACACUGAACAUUGAGCCUUGAUGUGUAGGAUAGGUGGGAGGCUUUGAAGUGUGGACGCCAGUCUGCAUGGAGCCGACCUUGAAAUACCACCCUUUAAUGUUUGAUGUUCUAACGUGGACCCGUAAUCCGGGUUGCGGACAGUGUCUGGUGGGUAGUUUGACUGGGGCGGUCUCCUCCUAAAGAGUAACGGAGGAGCACGAAGGUUGGCUAAUCCUGGUCGGACAUCAGGAGGUUAGUGCAAUGGCAUAAGCCAGCUUGACUGCGAGCGUGACGGCGCGAGCAGGUGCGAAAGCAGGUCAUAGUGAUCCGGUGGUUCUGAAUGGAAGGGCCAUCGCUCAACGGAUAAAAGGUACUCCGGGGAUAACAGGCUGAUACCGCCCAAGAGUUCAUAUC